Long non-coding RNA from Brassica rapa (field mustard), 709 nucleotides. RefSeq lists it as uncharacterized. NCBI's taxonomy places the organism in Eukaryota, Viridiplantae, Streptophyta, Magnoliopsida, Brassicales, Brassicaceae. The record is from RefSeq and is a predicted model, not a curated record.
ACCCGUUUGCUGAUGCGAAUGCUGAGGACUCAGGUGCGGGAACAAAGGAGUACGUCCACAUCUGUGUGCAGCAGCGCAAUGGUAGGAAAAGCUUGACAACAGUCCAAGGGUUGAAGAAAGAGUAUAUUUACAGCAAUAUACUUAAGGACCUCAAGAAAGAGUUUUGUUGCAAUGGUACAUUGGUUCAUGACUGAACUUGGACAGGUUCAUGUUUUUUUUACAGCAAGAUACUUAAUUACCUCAAGAAAAAGUUUUGUUGCAACGGAGGUUGCUUGAUUAAUUAUGCUUUGGGCUGACAGUCCUCCGCACACGUAUCGUAGGUAAGUGUACAGAAUCUGAUCUCCUUUACAAGAUUGCAGCAAUAACAUUUAAAGUCUCCUGGUAGACAAGUUGAUGGAAAGCACGUUGGUAAAUCUAUCUUGCUUUCCUCAAGGCCCUCCAUGUUUCUACCUAUUGUAGAAUUAAAGCAAUGAUAUGAGUGUGAUUACAAUGAUAAUGAUAUGAAGUUGAUGAACAAACCUGAAAGAACAUGCAUAUGUACUUACUUGCAAGACAACCAAAAAGCAAAACGAAGAUGAUGCAAAAGAUAGCGCAACUGGAAGACGACAUUGUGAUGAUUAAUUCUUUUCACAAAAAGUUUGCCUUUGUUAUAUGAUGAUCAAAACAAUACAUAUAAACAUAUAUAUAUAUAUAUAUAUAUUUCAAAUUA